AGGAGGCCCCAGGGUCAAUGCCUGCAAAAGAAAAGAAAAAAUCUGAUCGGAGGACUCCUGCCUGAAACCCUGCGGCUUUGGCUGGAAGCUGACAUGGCAAACAGGAGAGCAGAACCUGAGGCUAUAGAAAGAAGAGAAGCCUGCAUUCUGGCAGUGCAAACCUCUAGGCAAGGCUGGGCAACUAUUCACAUCCUCUAGAACUUCAGAGAUGCACAUGAUCGGUUUCGGUGGACUCCAAAGAAGGCAAUGUGUUAAAACACAUAUCCAUUUGUCCUCCACUUCCCUGGCCUAAAAAUGUCUCUAAAAUAAAACAAGAAAAAGA
Hemicordylus capensis (graceful crag lizard) is the source of this 322-nucleotide long non-coding RNA. RefSeq lists it as uncharacterized. The record is from RefSeq and is a predicted model, not a curated record. The transcript is spliced from 2 exons. NCBI's taxonomy places the organism in Eukaryota, Metazoa, Chordata, Lepidosauria, Squamata, Cordylidae.